GAACGGCAGCACAGAGGAGCUUGCUCCUUGGGUGGCGAGUGGCGGACGGGUGAGGAAUACAUCGGAAUCUACUCUGUCGUGGGGGAUAACGUAGGGAAACUUACGCUAAUACCGCAUACGACCUACGGGUGAAAGCAGGGGAUCUUCGGACCUUGCGCGAUUGAAUGAGCCGAUGUCGGAUUAGCUAGUUGGCGGGGUAAAGGCCCACCAAGGCGACGAUCCGUAGCUGGUCUGAGAGGAUGAUCAGCCACACUGGAACUGUGACACGGUCCAGACUCCUACGGGAGGCAGCAGUGGGGAAUAUUGGACAAUGGGCGCAAGCCUGAUCCAGCCAUACCGCGUGGGUGAAGAAGGCCUUCGGGUUGUAAAGCCCUUUUGUUGGGAAAGAAAUCCAGCUGGCUAAUACCCGGUUGGGAUGACGGUACCCAAAGAAUAAGCACCGGCUAACUUCGUG
RNAcentral lists this ribosomal RNA (454 nucleotides) under uncultured bacterium. RNAcentral's name for it is "bacterial SSU rRNA". It matches the Rfam family "Bacterial small subunit ribosomal RNA", at positions 64 to 507 of the family's 1533-position model. The record is from RNAcentral.